AAUAAGGUGGCUGAAAAGUUUAGGCGGUAAAUUGUAAAUUUAUAUAUGAGUUAAAAGUUUCUCUCUUAUUA
Molecule: transfer RNA, 71 nt
Filed under: Stereomastis sculpta
Lineage: Eukaryota; Metazoa; Arthropoda; Malacostraca; Decapoda; Crangonidae
Description: tRNA-Tyr
Rfam family: tRNA
About the family: Transfer RNA (tRNA) molecules are approximately 80 nucleotides in length. Their secondary structure includes four short double-helical elements and three loops (D, anti-codon, and T loops).
Source: RNAcentral